UGCUGCAGAUGGACAGACUAGUGUCGAAAUUAAUGUACUUCAGGGUGAGAGAGAGUUUGUUAGGGACAACAAAUCCCUUGGCAGCUUCCGCCUUGAUGGUAUCCCACCAGCACCACGAGGAGUUCCUCAAAUUGAGGUUAAAUUUGACAUUGAUGCCAAUGGUAUUCUUUCUGUUACUGCUGUUGAUAAAGGUACUGGCAAGAAGCAAGACAUCACCAUUACUGGUGCUAGUACCUUACCCAGCGAUGAGGUAUGUUAUGAUGUCAACUGAAUUCUUGCUGCAUUUAGCAUUUACUUGAUCUUUGAGAGUCACAGUGAUAUCCUUGUGAGGAAACGUGCUCGUAUGGGACAAUUACAAUGGUGCCCUUGAAAUUUGAGAGUGUAGGAAUUGCUCUAAAUUAUAACCAAGUAGACUGCUAACUCGCUUAUAAACUGCUUGUCAAAUUUGAUCUGAUGGAAGAUGCUUGUAUUGAUUGUUGUCAUGAAUGAAUAUAUUCAGGUUGAGAGGAUGGUGAACGAAGCUGAAAAGUUUGCAAAGGAGGACAAGGAGAAGAGAGAUGCCAUUGACACAAAGAACCAGGCAGAUUCUGUUGUCUACCAGACGGAGAAGCAACUGAAAGAGCUAGGAGACAAGGUUCCAGCUCCAGUGAAAGAGAAGGUUGAGGCAAAACUCAAGGAGCUCAAGGAUGCAAUUGCAGAUGGA
RNAcentral lists this long non-coding RNA (703 nucleotides) under Manihot esculenta (cassava). Its description in RNAcentral is "long non-coding RNA (MESC_LNC003785)". The record is from RNAcentral. Lineage: Eukaryota; Viridiplantae; Streptophyta; Magnoliopsida; Malpighiales; Euphorbiaceae.